UCUAAUAUGGCAGAUUAGUGCGAUGAAUUUAAGCUUCAUAAAUGGGUGUUAAAAACCCUUUUAGAA
This 66-nucleotide transfer RNA is filed under the name Salina celebensis. RNAcentral describes it as "tRNA-Leu". It matches the Rfam family "tRNA". Rfam says of the family: Transfer RNA (tRNA) molecules are approximately 80 nucleotides in length. Lineage: Eukaryota; Metazoa; Arthropoda; Collembola; Entomobryomorpha; Paronellidae. The record is from RNAcentral.